GACGAACGCUGGCGGCGUGCUUAACACAUGCAAGUCGAACGGAAAGGCCCUGCUUUUGUGGGGUGCUCGAGUGGCGAACGGGUGAGUAACACAUGAGUAACCUGCCCUUGACUUUGGGAUAACUUCAGGAAACUGGGGCUAAUACCGGAUAGGAGCUCCUGCUGCAUGGUGGGGGUGGAAAGUUUCGGCGGUUGGGGAUGGGCUCGCGGCUUAUCAGCUUGUUGGUGGGGUAGUGGCUUACCAAGGCUUUGACGGGUAGCCGGCCUGAGAGGGUGACCGGCCACAUUGGGACUGAGAUACGGCCCAGACUCCUACGGGAGGCAGCAGUGGGGAAUAUUGCACAAUGGGCGGAAGCCUGAUGCAGCAACGCCGCGUGCGGGAUGACGGCCUUCGGGUUGUAAACCGCUUUCGCCUGUGACGAAGCGUGAGUGACGGUAAUGGGUAAAGAAGCACCGGCUAACUACGU
Molecule: ribosomal RNA, 466 nt
Filed under: uncultured bacterium
Lineage: Bacteria
Description: partial 16S ribosomal RNA
Rfam family: Bacterial small subunit ribosomal RNA
Source: RNAcentral